Long non-coding RNA from Gasterosteus aculeatus aculeatus (three-spined stickleback), 1064 nucleotides. RefSeq lists it as uncharacterized. The record is from RefSeq and is a predicted model, not a curated record. Lineage: Eukaryota; Metazoa; Chordata; Actinopteri; Perciformes; Gasterosteidae.
UAAAAACUGCACAUUAUGGAGUUGCUGUCAUGCUGUAUGCUUGUCCCUUUCUGUGUUGGAGUCUGACUGGAGAAUCCCGUGAGCUGCUCGUCACGAAGGCCCAAACCAUGUGUGAGCUGACUCGGGUGGAAGAGGCUCAAACUCCAGGCUGGGAUUAGAAGCCAGUUUCCUUUGUGUUGCUAUAUUCAGUUCCUGUCUGGAGCUUCUUCAUGUUGGUAGUAUUGGUUAGAUUCCAGAAGAUUACUUUUGGUAAGUAAUGUAGUGAUCAAAUUUGAUAUAAUUUAACUAUUUAUUUGUCUUCAGGGGUUGAGGCUGUCUGCAGAGUAGCAGCCCAGAUGGUGUGUCUGGGCCUCUCAUCUGCCCCUCCCAUUCUCAGUUGUUUUGACUGCUAUGGCUGGUUCGACACCUGCAGAAUCAAGGGGAACAUUGAAAAACUAACUCUUCCAAAUGGCAUGCCAGACUCACUAGAUUAUCUUCACUGCAAGAUGAAGACCACCUUUAGGUUAAAGGGCCUCCUCUGACUUCAAUACAUGGCCAAAGAUGAUUGCAAUUCCUUUUAAAUCAAUUCUACCACUGGAUUUCAUGGACAAUUGGUUCAAUAUGCGUUUGCAAGAAACCUGGUGGAGACCGUGGUGCCAUGAGUACAAACAAAAGAUGUUUUGAACUGGACAUAAAAAAGAAAGUCAACCUCCGCAUAGUGCUGUACACUUCAGUGUAACCCCAACACUAGGAGAGGGAGAAGAUGGGCGAGGCCUGGGCUCUCAUCAAGGACGGUCCAGAGAAGACAACAGGCUCCUGCCUUGAGGAUCCCCAGAAGUGGUCAAGCAGUUUCAGCCUCCUGUGACGGUCAAUUACCAGCAGUCUUUAGUGAUUUGAGUGAACGGACAAUUGAGAGAACACAACAGGCUCCUGCUUCAGGGUCAACCAGCUUUAGCCUCCUGUGGAAAUUGCCCAACCAACUUAGCGAUUUGAGUAACAGGACGAUAGAAUCCAACUCUCUACAGGCUUUUCCAGAUCUCGUUGACCGGAUUUGGCAGAAGGUAAGACAUUUUUUUUUAGCUGGG